GGCACGGUGGCGCAGUUGGUAGCACUGUUGCCUUGCAAUAAGAAGGUCCUGGGUUCAACUCCCGGCCAAGAGUCU
Molecule: non-coding RNA, 75 nt
Organism: Characodon lateralis
Lineage: Eukaryota; Metazoa; Chordata; Actinopteri; Cyprinodontiformes; Goodeidae
Source: the annotation of a GenBank genome assembly